Molecule: long non-coding RNA, 256 nt
Organism: Pocillopora damicornis (cauliflower coral)
Lineage: Eukaryota; Metazoa; Cnidaria; Anthozoa; Scleractinia; Pocilloporidae
Source: RefSeq, a predicted model, not a curated record
UAAAAUAGAACUAAAUGAAUGUUAUGUAGUAAUUUUAGGUUUUGUUUUCAAGUUAGUGACAGAAUUGGGAAAUGAAUUGGUCAACGGAAUUCUAUUUCUAUUUCAACGGAAAUACGGAAAGCAAAAGUCAAUUCCCAUACAAAUAAACCAACUCCUCAAAGUAGCAGGGGUGAAUGUGAGACUUGGAUGAAGUUAAAAUAUGUACAACACAAGUUUGUUUCCUUGGAAACCUUUCUAAAAAACUGUCAAACUUUGG